Molecule: ribosomal RNA, 468 nt
Filed under: uncultured bacterium
Lineage: Bacteria
Description: partial 16S ribosomal RNA
Rfam family: Bacterial small subunit ribosomal RNA
Source: RNAcentral
GACGAACGCUGGCGGCGUGCUUAACACAUGCAAGUCGAACGGAAAGGCCCUGCUUUUGUGGGGUGCUCGAGUGGCGAACGGGUGAGUAACACGUGAGUAACCUGCCCUUGACUUUGGGAUAACUUCAGGAAACUGGGGCUAAUACCGGAUAGGAGCUCCUGCUGCAUGGUGGGGGUUGGAAAGUUUCGGCGGUUGGGGAUGGACUCGCGGCUUAUCCGCUUGUUGGUGGGGUAGUGGCUUACCAAGGCUUUGACGGGUAGCCGGCCUGGGAGGGGUACCGGCCACAAUGGGACUGAGAGACGGCCCAGACUCCUACGGGACGCAGCAGUGGGGAAUAUUGCACAAUGGGCGGAAGCCUGAUGCAGCAACGCCGCGUGCGGGAUGACGGCCUUCGGGUUGUAAACCGCUUUCGCCUGUGACGAAGCGUGAGUGACGGUAAUGGGUAAAGAAGCACCGGCUAACUACGUG